Molecule: ribosomal RNA, 253 nt
Filed under: uncultured bacterium
Lineage: Bacteria
Description: partial 16S ribosomal RNA
Rfam family: Bacterial small subunit ribosomal RNA
Source: RNAcentral
UACGUAGGCAGCAAGCGUUGUUCGGAGUUACUGGGCGUAAAGAGUGCGUAGGCGGUGUCGAAAGUUUGGCGUGAAAUCUCCCGGCUUAACUGGGAGGGUGCGCCGAAAACUGCGAUGCUGGAGUGUGGGAAAGGCAAGCGGAAUUCCUGGUGUAGCGGUGAAAUGCGUAGAUAUCUGGAGGAACACCGGUGGCGAAGGCGGCAUCCUGGACCAAUACUGACGCUGAGGAGCGAAAGCCAGGGGAGCAAACGGG